This is a non-coding RNA of Mesorhizobium metallidurans STM 2683, 122 nucleotides long. Lineage: Bacteria; Pseudomonadati; Pseudomonadota; Alphaproteobacteria; Hyphomicrobiales; Phyllobacteriaceae. The record is from Rfam.
GAGAUUUCGUCAAAGCCGACCUCCUCCCCGGCGAUGACGAAUACGGUCGAUCUUCACCUCCUCCCGAGGAUCGACCACCAAAACGACACCCGCCGGACCUCCUCCCCCGGCGGGUGUUGUUU